GUCCACGCUGUAAACGAUGAGAACUAGACGUUGGGAGACUUGAUCUAUUAGUGUCGCAGCUAACGCGCUAAGUUCUCCGCCUGGGGAGUACGGCCGCAAGGUUAAACUCAAAGGAAUUGACGGGGCCGCACAAGCGGUGGAGCAUGUGGUUUAAUUCGAUGCAACGCGCAGAACCUUACCUACCCUUGACAUCCAGGGAAUCUUGCAGAGAUGUGAGAGUGCCUUCGGGAGCCCUGAGACAGGUGCUGCAUGGCUGUCGU
RNAcentral lists this ribosomal RNA (260 nucleotides) under uncultured bacterium. RNAcentral describes it as "partial 16S ribosomal RNA". It matches the Rfam family "Bacterial small subunit ribosomal RNA", at positions 793 to 1055 of the family's 1533-position model. The record is from RNAcentral.